This 425-nucleotide ribosomal RNA is filed under the name uncultured bacterium. RNAcentral describes it as "partial 16S ribosomal RNA". It matches the Rfam family "Bacterial small subunit ribosomal RNA", at positions 354 to 796 of the family's 1533-position model. The record is from RNAcentral.
GUGGGGAAUCUUGCGCAAUGGGCGAAAGCCUGACGCAGCCAUGCCGCGUGAAUGAUGAAGGUCUUAGGAUUGUAAAAUUCUUUCACCGGGGACGAUAAUGACGGUACCCGGAGAAGAAGCUCCGGCUAACUUCGUGCCAGCAGCCGCGGUAAUACGAAGGGGGCUAGCGUUGCUCGGAAUUACUGGGCGUAAAGGGCGCGUAGGCGGACAGCUUAGUCAGAGGUGAAAGCCCAGGGCUCAACCUUGGAAUUGCCUUUGAUACGGGCUGUCUUGAGUGUGGGAGAGGGGAGUGGAACUCCGAGUGUAGAGGUGAAAUACGUAGAUAUUCGGAAGAACACCAGUGGCGAAGGCGACUCACUGGCCCAAUACUGACGAUGAGGCGCGAAAGCGUGGGGAGCAAACAGGAUUAGAAACACUAGUAGUCC